Molecule: ribosomal RNA, 329 nt
Filed under: uncultured eukaryote
Lineage: Eukaryota
Description: partial 18S ribosomal RNA
Rfam family: Eukaryotic small subunit ribosomal RNA
Source: RNAcentral
CCCUUAGAUGUCCUGGGCCGCACGCGCGCUACACUGAGUGUCUGAGAUACGAGUCUGCCUGGUCCGGCAAGGUCUAGGUAAUCGCUAAAAGACACAUCAUGCUUGGGAUAGAUUAUUGCAAAUAUUAAUCUUGAACGAGGAAUUCCUAGUAAGCGCAAGUCAACAGCUUGCGUUGAUUACGUCCCUGCCCUUUGUACACACCGCCCGUCGCUACUACUGAUUGGAUGUUUAAGCGAGGUUCUCGGACUGCUAGCGACUUAGCUUCGGUGAGGUCGCAGUGUGGGAAGUGAACCUAGCUUUGGUGUCUAGAGGAAGUAAAAGUCGUAACA